GCAUUAAUGGUGUAUCGGUAACAUUGGGUCUUCCCAUGGCCUAGCACUGGGUUCGACUCCCAGUUAAUGCA
This 71-nucleotide transfer RNA is filed under the name Asterophora parasitica. Its description in RNAcentral is "tRNA-Gly". The record is from RNAcentral. Lineage: Eukaryota; Fungi; Basidiomycota; Agaricomycetes; Agaricales; Lyophyllaceae.